CUAUACAUGCAAGUCGAGCGGACAGAUGGGAGCUUGCUCCCUGAUGUUAGCGGCGGACGGGUGAGUAACACGUGGGUAACCUGCCUGUAAGACUGGGAUAACUCCGGGAAACCGGGGCUAAUACCGGAUGGUUGUUUGAACCGCAUGGUUCAAACAUAAAAGGUGGCUUCGGCUACCACUUACAGAUGGACCCGCGGCGCAUUAGCUAGUUGGUGAGGUAAUGGCUCACCAAGGCAACGAUGCGUAGCCGACCUGAGAGGGUGAUCGGCCACACUGGGACUGAGACACGGCCCAGACUCCUACGGGAGGCAGCAGUAGGGAAUCUUCCGCAAUGGACGAAAGUCUGACGGAGCAACGCCGCGUGAGUGAUGAAGGUUUUCGGAUCGUAAAGCUCUGUUGUUAGGGAAGAACAAGUACCGUUCGAAUAGGGCGGUACCUUGACGGUACCUAACCAGAAAGCCACGGCUAACUACGUGCCAGCAGCCGCGGUAAUACGUAGGUGGCAAGCGUUGUCCGGAAUUAUUGGGCGUAAAGGGCUCGCAGGCGGUUUCUUAAGUCUGAUGUGAAAGCCCCCGGCUCAACCGGGGAGGGUCAUUGGAAACUGGGGAACUUGAGUGCAGAAGAGGAGAGUGGAAUUCCACGUGUAGCGGUGAAAUGCGUAGAGAUGUGGAGGAACACCAGUGGCGAAGGCGACUCUCUGGUCUGUAACUGACGCUGAGGAGCGAAAGCGUGGGGAGCGAACAGGAUUAG
This 750-nucleotide ribosomal RNA is filed under the name Bacillus subtilis. RNAcentral's name for it is "bacterial SSU rRNA". It matches the Rfam family "Bacterial small subunit ribosomal RNA", at positions 49 to 781 of the family's 1533-position model. Lineage: Bacteria; Bacillati; Bacillota; Bacilli; Caryophanales; Bacillaceae. The record is from RNAcentral.